UGCAUCGGCCGGGAAUCGAACCCGGGUCGCCCGCGUGGCAGGCGAGCAUUCUACCACUGAUGGUUAUAAGAAAUGGC
Molecule: non-coding RNA, 77 nt
Organism: Cordylochernes scorpioides
Lineage: Eukaryota; Metazoa; Arthropoda; Arachnida; Pseudoscorpiones; Chernetidae
Source: the annotation of a GenBank genome assembly